GUGGCAGCAGUCGAGAAUCUUUCACAAUGGGGGCAACCCUGAUGGAGCGACGCCGCGUGGAGGAUAAGGUCUUCGGAUUGUAAACUCCUGUCAUGUGUGAACAAGGUUGUCGUGUUAAUAGCAUGGCAAAUUGAUGGUAACACAAGAGGAAGAGACGGCUAACUCUGUGCCAGCAGCCGCGGUAAUACAGAGGUCUCAAGCGUUGUUCGGAAUCACUGGGCGUAAAGGGUGCGUAGGUGGCGUGGAAAGUCAGAUGUGAAAGCCCGGGGCUCAACCUCGGAAUUGCAUCCGAUACUCCCAUGCUAGAGUACUGAAGAGGUGACUAGAAUUCUCGGUGUAGCAGUGAAAUGCGUAGAUAUCGAGAGGAAUACCAACGGCGAAGGCAGGUCACUGGGCAGUUACUGACACUGAGGCACGAAGGCCAGGGGAGCGAACGGGAUUAGAUACCCCGGUAGUCNUGGCAGUAAACGGUGCACGUUUGGUGUGGGCGCAAUCGACCGCGUCCGCGCCGGAGCUAACGCGUUAAACGUGCCGCCUGGGAAGUACGGUCGCAAGAUUAAAACUCAAAGAAAUUGACGGGGACCCGCACAAGCGGUGGAGUAUGUGGCUUAAUUCGAUGCAACGCGAAGAACCUUACCUG
This 640-nucleotide ribosomal RNA is filed under the name uncultured bacterium. Its description in RNAcentral is "bacterial SSU rRNA". It matches the Rfam family "Bacterial small subunit ribosomal RNA", at positions 345 to 977 of the family's 1533-position model. The record is from RNAcentral.